CGUGAAAUAGCUUAACUAAAAGCAAUAAAUUUUUAAUUUAUAGAUAAGAAAUUCUUCUUCAUGG
This 64-nucleotide transfer RNA is filed under the name Altiverruca navicula. RNAcentral describes it as "tRNA-Lys". It matches the Rfam family "tRNA". From Rfam's summary of the family: Transfer RNA (tRNA) molecules are approximately 80 nucleotides in length. The record is from RNAcentral. Lineage: Eukaryota; Metazoa; Arthropoda; Thecostraca; Verrucomorpha; Verrucidae.